GCAAGUCGAGGGGCAGCGGGACACUUCGGUGUUGCCGGCGACCGGCGGACGGGUGCGUAAUGCGCAUGCAAUCUACUUUACACUGGGGAAUAGCCUCCGGAAACGGGAAUUAAUACCCCAUAUAAUCUUAUUAGCGCAUGUUAAAAAGAUGAAAGCUCCGGCGGUGUAAAAUGAGCGUGCGUCCUAUUAGCUAGUUGGUGAGGUAAUGGCUCACCAAGGCUACGAUGGGUAGGGGUUCUUAGUGGAAGGUCCCCCACACUGGCACUGAGAUACGGGCCAGACUCCUACGGGAGGCAGCAGUAGGGAAUAUUGGUCAAUGGGCGCAAGCCUGAACCAGCCAUGCCGCGUGCAGGAUGAAGGCUCUCUGAGUUGUAAACUGCUUUUGUACAGGAGCAAAAAAAUCCCUGCGGGGGUUCUUGAGAGUACUGUAAGAAUAAGCACCGGCUAAUUCCGU
This 454-nucleotide ribosomal RNA is filed under the name Cardinium endosymbiont of Bemisia tabaci. RNAcentral describes it as "bacterial SSU rRNA". It matches the Rfam family "Bacterial small subunit ribosomal RNA", at positions 57 to 506 of the family's 1533-position model. Lineage: Bacteria; Pseudomonadati; Bacteroidota; Cytophagia; Cytophagales; Amoebophilaceae. The record is from RNAcentral.